This 2344-nucleotide long non-coding RNA is filed under the name Sus scrofa (pig). Its description in RNAcentral is "lncRNA (ENSSSCG00055009030.1)". Lineage: Eukaryota; Metazoa; Chordata; Mammalia; Artiodactyla; Suidae. The record is from RNAcentral.
UUUUUUUUUUUUUUUUUAUUUGUUAUGUUGCAGCAAUUACACUGUAAAAGUGCUGCCCAAGAUUGAUUGCUCUGAUCUGUAGUUCAAUUGUAAAUUAGAAUACACAUCCCCCCAGGGACACACGGCCCCUAUUUGUGAUUAAGAAAAAAGCCCCAUAAUAGACUAAUAGCUAAAGUUCUCUCUCUUUUACUUUCAGGCAAUUAGCUUGAUGAAAUGGCCUCUUUUUGUGUACCCUGGAAGUGUAAACCGAUAUCAUAAUGAAGUAUAUGAUGUUUAUUCUAUUAUUUUCACCUUGCCGGGUAUGCAGGAAUGCAUAAGUAAUGGCUGCUUUGUCUGGUACAUUUACUGAUUCACAAGUAAACUAUUUCUUAAAGAUGCAGUGUGUGCAUUCUGAGGCUUGAGGUAAGCAACCCCUAGCUGCGGGUUAACCCCCGUGGAAAGGACUCUCCACUCAAGAGGAGAAAAAGAAAUUUUCCAAGUGGUGGUGAGAGCAGGAUUCUGACAUUCAAGAGCCAUUCAGCUGCUGGGCGGCUCUGGGGUGGAUAUGGUGACAAGGUACACACACACGGCAACACUGAGAAUCAAGGAAGAUCCCAGGGCACUUUGGCUAAGUGUCUUGUGGUGACUUUGUGCCAGUAAGACCAUAAUGUGUGCUUCACCUCCCCUGAUUCAUUUUGGACCACCAACUGUCUCUCUUCUUGGGUGGUUAAAGCUAACCCUACAGGGGUAUGACAGAGCCAUGUUUAAGUGGAUGGCAGCCAUCUCCCCACCAAAAAAGUCUUGUCAUUUCAAGAUCCAAAACUUUGAAAUCAUCUGUUGUCAAGAAAACAUUCUUCAUGGGUUCCCACUGUGGCUCAGCAAGUUAAGGACCUGACAUAGGGUCUGUGAGGAUGCGGGUUUUAUCCCUAGCCUCUGUCAGUGGAUUAAGGAUCCACAUUGCCAUAAGCUGUGGUGUAGGUUACAGACACAGCUCAGAUCCCACGUUGCUGUGGCUCUGGCAUAGGCCAGCAGCUACAGCUCUGAUUCGACCCCUAGUCUGGGAUCCUCCAUAUGCCGCGGGAGCAGCCCAAGAAAUGGCAAAAAGACAAAAUAAAAAUAAAAAUAAAAUUUUUUUAACACUGUAACUUCAGACCAAACAAAACCCUCUGGGGACCAAAUCACCAACUAUGUGCAGACCUCUUGGGUCACCUUACUCAGAGAUUUCCUUAUGGGAGAACCUCUCUAUUCUGAAAAAAAUGACUUUGUCCAAUAAUUGUUUCCACUCCUACUUCUCCAAGAAAGAUAAGGGACAUGUUGGAUUUUCUUUGUCUUUCCAGUGCCCAGCAUAGUGAGUGGCUCAAAAAAGCAUCUUGGAAUUCCCAUCAUGGCUCAGCAGGUUAUAAACCCAACUAGUAUCAUUGAGGAUAUGGGUUUGAUCCAUGUUCUCACUCAGUGGGUUAAGGAUCCAGCAUUGCCAUGAGUUAUGGUGCAGGUUGCAGACACAGCUCAGAUCCUGCAUUGCUGUGGCCAUGGCACAGGCUGUCAGCUGCAGCUCCAAUUCGACCCCUAGCCAGGGAACUUCCAUAUGCCACAGGUGUGGCCCUGAAAAAAAAAAAAAAAAAAAAAAAAAAAAAGGCAUCUCAGUUAAUUUUACAUUGAUAUUUCUUGAGCCUGAAAACCAAGGUAGAGUGUGCAGAUGGGAGAUCUUUCUAGGUAGGUAAAAGAAUCAAAGUGUUCCUAUUCUAAAUGUCCCUCUUUCUAAAGAGGAAAGAUUUUAUAGAUAUCAUAAGCCUUGGUCAAUAUCUGAUUUCCUUAGAACUGUCUGGAACUCAUUCUACAAAGCUCCAAAGCCCACUCCAUAGUUAGCAACACUAGAGUCAGUGCUGAAAAUAUAAACCUAAUCUAUCUAUAUAUGAUUAAUCUGUGCCUGGCACGUGAGUGAAUAAUUUAAUGAAUGAGUUAAAUCUUUCUGAAAGAACCCCAACUCAAGUGUCACAUGUGACACUCUUAAUUUUAUUGGAAGGUGACCAUAGAGCAAAUCCCGGACCAGAAAGAGACAUAUUGUCUCUGAAACUGUAGACAAGAAGAAGAAAAUGGUGAAGGCUAGGAUGUAGACAACUUAGAAGAUUCAGUGAAAGCAAAGACAAUGAGUUUUUUUAACUUUUUGGAUGCCCACAAUCUUUGAUCUGAUGAUGCAACUUCUAGGCAUUUUUUUCUCAAAGAAUAAUUGUGCAUAAAUAUUUGGCUGUAAGUAUGUCUGCUGCAGCUUUGUUAAACUGGUACAACCACUAUGGAGAACAGUGUGGGGGUACCUUAGAAAACUAUACGUAGAACUACCACAUGACCCAGCAAUCCCACUCCUGGG